AACGCACGAGACCUGCGGACCUGCGGAGGGAUCAUUAUUGAAUUAAUGGAUUUGAGUUUGUUGCUGGCUUUUUAAGCAUGUGCACAUUCAUUCCUUUUUUUCUUUCUUUACACCACAUGUGAACUUCUGUAGAUCUGAAAAGCUUUUCAAACCUCUCUUGGUUUUGGUUUGAGAAAUUGCAGUGCAUUCUGGUCGGCCAAAUCCUGCUUUUUCUUGAUUUGGAUCUACAUUUUUUAAUAA
RNAcentral lists this unclassified non-coding RNA (240 nucleotides) under soil metagenome. RNAcentral's name for it is "partial contains 5.8S ribosomal RNA, internal transcribed spacer 2, and large subunit ribosomal RNA". The record is from RNAcentral.